Molecule: ribosomal RNA, 497 nt
Filed under: uncultured bacterium
Lineage: Bacteria
Description: partial 16S ribosomal RNA
Rfam family: Bacterial small subunit ribosomal RNA
Source: RNAcentral
GAUGAACGCUGGCGGCGUGCCUAAUACAUGCAAGUCGAGCGAACAGACGAGGAGCUUGCUCCUCUGACGUUAGCGGCGGACGGGUGAGUAACACGUGGAUAACCUACCUAUAAGACUGGGAUAACUUCGGGAAACCGGAGCUAAUACCGGAUAAUAUAUUGAACCGCAUGGUUCAAUAGUGAAAGACGGUUUUGCUGUCACUUAUAGAUGGAUCCGCGCCGCAUUAGCUAGUUGGUAAGGUAACGGCUUACCAAGGCAACGAUGCGUAGCCGACCUGAGAGGGUGAUCGGCCACACUGGAACUGAGACACGGUCCAGACUCCUACGGGAGGCAGCAGUAGGGAAUCUUUCGCAAUGGGCGAAAGCCUGACGGAGCAACGCCGCGUGGGUGAUGAAGGUCUUCGGAUCGUAAAACUCUGUUAUUAGGGAAGAACAAAUGUGUAAGUAACUAUGCACGUCUUGACGGUACCUAAUCAGAAAGCCACGGCUAACUACGUG